CAGGGUAGGGCUCCAGCUAAGCCACGUAUGCACUACAAUGGGCAACAGAAAGGUUGGUUUCCGGGCACUUCAGAGAAACCAAGGACAGCUACCCCCAGAACUCACAGUAGCCAACUGGGCUGCUCACAGGAGAUGCCUUAACUCAAAGGUGAUCAGACUCCACGGGAGACCCAGAGAAGACGUGGAGAGAGCUCAGAGGCUGUCCCGGAGAAGUCGUGGAAAGCUCAGAGGAUGUCCCAAACAAGAGAGAGCUCAGAGGCUGUCCCAGAGAAGAUGUGGAGAGAGUUCAGAGGCUGUCGUUACUGCUGCACUUGGCUGUUUUUCUUUGGAUAAUUAUUGCAAUCAAUUUUAGUGAUUCAGGUGUUAAAUCACAGUCAAGCACCUGUUUACCUAGUGGUAAAAUCCUUAAGUAAGUCAUAUUUGGUUGGGAAGAUCAAAGAAAUCACCCAGUCUCCCACAUCUGAAAUUGUGCA
RNAcentral lists this long non-coding RNA (473 nucleotides) under Pongo abelii (Sumatran orangutan). RNAcentral describes it as "lincRNA". The record is from RNAcentral. Lineage: Eukaryota; Metazoa; Chordata; Mammalia; Primates; Hominidae.